This 765-nucleotide ribosomal RNA is filed under the name Triticum aestivum (bread wheat). RNAcentral's name for it is "partial small subunit ribosomal RNA". The record is from RNAcentral. Lineage: Eukaryota; Viridiplantae; Streptophyta; Magnoliopsida; Poales; Poaceae.
AUGUUUCUUAGGAUUGCGUCGUCUCCGGCCGCCGUCGCCGCGGCUAGCCAGCUCUCUGCGCCAGGACCGGCCCACGGUUCUGCGAGGCUGCCGCCGUUGGCGAAAGGGUCGUCGACGGCGACGGCGUGCAGGGCUGCGGGGAAGGGGAACAAGGAGGAGGUGCUCCUCAGCGGUGUGAUGUUCCAGCCGUUCGAGGAGCUCAAGGGGGAGCUUUCGCUCGUGCCGCAGGCCGAGGGCCAGUCGCUCGCCAGGCAAAAGUUCGUCGACGAAUGCGAGGCCGCCAUCAACGAGCAGAUCAAUGUGGAGUACAAUGCCUCGUACGCGUACCACUCCCUCUACGCCUACUUCGACCGGGACAAUGUUGCCCUUAAGGGCUUUGCCAAGUUUAAGGAAUCGAGCGACGAGGAGAGGGAACACGCGGAGAUGCUUAUGGAGUACCAGAACAGACGUGGAGGGCGGGUGAGGCUCCAGUCUACCGUCACCCCAUUGACAGAGUUCGACCACUCUGAGAAAGGCGAUGCUCUGUACGCAAUGGAGUUGGCUCUAGCUCUUGAAAAGCUCGUGAAUGAGAAGCUGCACAACCUGCACUCUGUGGCAACAAGGUGCAACGAUCCUCAGCUGAGUGACUUUGUUGAGAGUCAAUUUCUUCAGGAGCAGGUUGAUGCCGUGAAGAAGAUCUCGGAGUACGUGACGCAGCUUAGGAGAAUCGGCAAAGGGCACGGGGUGUGGCACUUUGAUCGGAUGCUGCUUGAAGAAGAGGCCUAG